Molecule: ribosomal RNA, 431 nt
Filed under: Coptotermes formosanus (Formosan subterranean termite)
Lineage: Eukaryota; Metazoa; Arthropoda; Insecta; Blattodea; Rhinotermitidae
Also listed under: 1 other name
Description: partial 16S ribosomal RNA
Source: RNAcentral
UUACGCUGUUAUCCCUAAGGUAAUUUAAUCUUAUAAUCAAAAUAAAUGGAUCAAACAACUAUAAAUCAAUAUAACCAAAACCAAGAGGAGUUAAACAUAUUCCUCUCAUCACCCCAACAAAACAAAAAGCCCACUCACCAACAAAACAAACAAACAACCAAACAGGAAAUAAACCAAAUGUCAAACUCUAUAGGGUCUUCUCGUCCCACAAAAACAUUUAAGAAUUUUAACUCAAAGACCAAAUUCAAUAAAACAUUCAACACUAAGACAGCCCGUGCCUCGUCAAGCCAUUCAUUCCAGAUCACAAUUAAAGAACUAAUGAUUAUGCUACCUUUGCACGGUCAAAAUACCGCGGCCCUUCAACACUCAAUGUCAGCGGGCAGGCCAUACUUCAAAAACUAACAAGAAAAGAUGUUUUUGAUAAACAGGCG